RNAcentral lists this ribosomal RNA (529 nucleotides) under Bifidobacterium bifidum. Its description in RNAcentral is "bacterial SSU rRNA". It matches the Rfam family "Bacterial small subunit ribosomal RNA", at positions 162 to 705 of the family's 1533-position model. The record is from RNAcentral. Lineage: Bacteria; Bacillati; Actinomycetota; Actinomycetes; Bifidobacteriales; Bifidobacteriaceae.
GGUAAUGCCGGAUGUUCCACAUGAUCGCAUGUGAUUGUGGGAAAGAUUCUAUCGGCGUGGGAUGGGGUCGCGUCCUAUCAGCUUGUUGGUGAGGUAACGGCUCACCAAGGCUUCGACGGGUAGCCGGCCUGAGAGGGCGACCGGCCACAUUGGGACUGAGAUACGGCCCAGACUCCUACGGGAGGCAGCAGUGGGGAAUAUUGCACAAUGGGCGCAAGCCUGAUGCAGCGACGCCGCGUGAGGGAUGGAGGCCUUCGGGUUGUAAACCUCUUUUGUUUGGGAGCAAGCCUUCGGGUGAGUGUACCUUUCGAAUAAGCGCCGGCUAACUACGUGCCAGCAGCCGCGGUAAUACGUAGGGCGCAAGCGUUAUCCGGAUUUAUUGGGCGUAAAGGGCUCGUAGGCGGCUCGUCGCGUCCGGUGUGAAAGUCCAUCGCUUAACGGUGGAUCUGCGCCGGGUACGGGCGGGCUGGAGUGCGGUAGGGGAGACUGGAAUUCCCGGUGUAACGGUGGAAUGUGUAGAUAUCGAAGA